CGCUGGCGGCGUGCCUAAUACAUGCAAGUCGAACGCACUCUCGUUUAGAUUGAAGGAGCUUGCUCCUGAUUGAUAAACAUUUGAGUGAGUGGCGGACGGGUGAGUAACACGUGGGUAACCUGCCCUAAAGUGGGGAUAACAUUUGGAAACAGAUGCUAAUACCGCAUAAAACCUAACACCGCAUGGUGUAGGGUUGAAAGAUGGUUUUGGCUAUCACUUUAGGAUGGACCCGCGGUGCAUUAGUUAGUUGGUGAGGUAAAGGCUCACCAAGACCGUGAUGCAUAGCCGACCUGAGAGGGUAAUCGGCCACACUGGGACUGAGACACGGCCCAGACUCCUACGGGAGGCAGCAGUAGGGAAUCUUCCACAAUGGACGAAAGUCUGAUGGAGCAACGCCGCGUGAGUGAAGAAGGUUUUCGGAUCGUAAAACUCUGUUGUUGGAGAAGAAUGUAUUUGAUAGUAACUGAUCAGGUAGUGACGGUAUCCAACCAGAAAGCCACGGCUAACUACGUG
Molecule: ribosomal RNA, 513 nt
Filed under: uncultured bacterium
Lineage: Bacteria
Description: bacterial SSU rRNA
Rfam family: Bacterial small subunit ribosomal RNA
Source: RNAcentral